RNAcentral lists this ribosomal RNA (1406 nucleotides) under human gut metagenome. RNAcentral's name for it is "bacterial LSU rRNA". It matches the Rfam family "Bacterial large subunit ribosomal RNA", at positions 1082 to 2505 of the family's 2925-position model. The record is from RNAcentral.
UGCACAGACAACCAGGAUGUUGGCUUAGAAGCAGCCACUCAUUUAAAGAGUGCGUAAUAGCUCACUGGUCGAGUGAUCCUGCGCCGAAAAUUUCCGGGGCUAAAACGUACUACCGAAGCUACGGCAUCAUUUAUGAUGGGUAGGGGAGCUUCGUAUGCAGGCUGAAGCAUGACCGUAAGGACAUGUGGACAGUAUACGAGUGAGAAUGUUGGCAUGAGUAGCGAGACGUGGGUGAGAAUCCCACGGGCCGUAAACCCAAGGUUUCCAGGGGAAGGUUCGUCCGCCCUGGGUUAGUCGGGACCUAAGCCGAGGCCGAAAGGCGUAGGUGAUGGACAACAGGUUGAUAUUCCUGUACCGCCAAUAAGCGUUUGAGAGAUGGAGUGACACAGUAGGAUAAGCUAACCGUACUGUUGGUUAUGUACGGCUAAGCAUUGAGGCAGUCUAAAUAGGCAAAUCCGUUUAGACAAUGCUAGGAUGUGAUGGGGAAGCCCUUCGGGGCGAAGUAGCUGAUUUCACACUGUCAAGAAAAGCUUCUAUCGAGUUUAAAGGCGCCCGUACCGUAAACCGACACAGGUGGGUGAGGAGAGUAUCCUAAGGCCAGCGAGAGAACUAUUGUUAAGGAACUCGGCAAAAUGACCCCGUAACUUAGGGAGAAGGGGUGCCUGUCUAUGACAGGCCGCAGAGAAUAGGCCCAAGCGACUGUUUACCAAAAACACAGGUUUCUGCUAAGUCGCAAGACGAUGUAUAGGAGCUGACGCCUGCCCGGUGCUGGAAGGUUAAGGGGAUCUGUUAGAGCAAUCGAAGCAGUGAACUUAAGCCCCAGUAAACGGCGGCCGUAACUAUAACGGUCCUAAGGUAGCGAAAUUCCUUGUCGGGUAAGUUCCGACCCGCACGAAAGGCGUAACGAUUUGGGCACUGUCUCAACAAUAGACUCGGUGAAAUUGUAAUCCCGGUGAAGAUGCCGGGUACCUGCGACAGGACGGAAAGACCCCAUGGAGCUUUACUGUAGCUUGACGUUGGGUCUUGGUACUACAUGUACAGGAUAGGUGGGAGACUAUGAAGCAUGGACGCCAGUCUGUGUGGAGUCAUCCUUGGGAUACCACCCUUGUAGUACUGGGAUCCUAACCAUAGGCCUUGAAUCAGGUCUUGGAACACCGUCAGGUGGGCAGUUUGACUGGGGCGGUCGCCUCCUAAAAAGUAACGGAGGCGCUCAAAGGUUUCCUCAGCACGGUCGGAAAUCGUGCGAAGAGUGUAAAGGCAAAAGGAAGCUUGAUUGCAAGACAUACAGGUCGAGCAAGGACGAAAGUCGGACUUAGUGAUCCGGUGGUACCGCAUGGAAGGGCCAUCGCUCAACGGAUAAAAGCUACCCUGGGGAUAACAGGCUGAUCUCCCCCAAGAGUCCACAU